RNAcentral lists this unclassified non-coding RNA (355 nucleotides) under fungal sp. RNAcentral's name for it is "partial internal transcribed spacer region". The record is from RNAcentral. Lineage: Eukaryota; Fungi.
AAGUCGUAACAAGGUUUCCGUAGGUGAACCUGCGGAAACCUUCAAACACCAUACAGCGCUUCGUGACCCAUCUUGUGUCGGGAUUGAUGGUCGGGAAAAACAGGGAUCCAGGUUGGUUGUCGGGGGAGAACCUCGCGAAAUGGGGUGGCACGCCGACCAUUCCUGGUUACGAUGUAAACGUGGUCUCCACUUCAACUUGUUUAGUACCUUUUGUCCUCUACCCGUACCGCUUGUCGCCACGAUUUGGAUCUUGAUGCACCCGUUUUCUUAUAACCCUAUGUCUUCCCGCAAAAGUACCCACUCGGGGGGCCUGAGAACCUUCCAGAGAUGGAGAACCCGAACAAUCUUGGCUCUC